AUCUGGCGUGCCCCUAUACCCCCAAAAAUUAAGAUCUUCUUGUGGCAAGCCUUUAGGGGUCGACUUCCUGCUGCUGACCAGAUUCAUAAGCAUAAUGGGCCUAGCUCGGUGGCUUGUGUGUUACGCGACGCUGUGGAGGAUACUAAUCAUAUCUUUUUCAGCUGUGUCCUGGCCAAGAUGGUUUGGUGUUGUAUUCGUUCUUGGCUGGGUGUCACUUGGCACCCCACCUCCUUCUCGAACCUCGGAACCUUGGCAUCUGGCCUUUCUGGGAUUACCAAACACAUGUUCUGGAUUGGUUUUGCCGCGAUUUGCUGGUCAUCAUGGACGACUAGGAACAACUUUAUCAUUGAGCAUAUCUUCCCUGCUAGCAUGUUGAUUGCUUAUUUAAAGCUUGUCUGUUUCUGCAGUGGUGGAGAUUAUUGA
This 423-nucleotide ribosomal RNA is filed under the name Triticum aestivum (bread wheat). Its description in RNAcentral is "partial small subunit ribosomal RNA". The record is from RNAcentral. Lineage: Eukaryota; Viridiplantae; Streptophyta; Magnoliopsida; Poales; Poaceae.